UGAACUGGGUAUACCUGAAAGGGAGGCU
Molecule: non-coding RNA, 28 nt
Filed under: Mus musculus (house mouse)
Lineage: Eukaryota; Metazoa; Chordata; Mammalia; Rodentia; Muridae
Source: RNAcentral